GCCCGAGUGGCGGAAUUGGUAGACGCAGCGGAUUCAAAAUCCGCCGGUGGCAACACCUUGUGGGUUCGAGUCCCACCUCGGGCACCA
This 87-nucleotide transfer RNA is filed under the name Sinisalibacter aestuarii. RNAcentral's name for it is "tRNA-Leu". It matches the Rfam family "tRNA". From Rfam's summary of the family: Transfer RNA (tRNA) molecules are approximately 80 nucleotides in length. The record is from RNAcentral. Lineage: Bacteria; Pseudomonadati; Pseudomonadota; Alphaproteobacteria; Rhodobacterales; Roseobacteraceae.